UAUGGGUCUUGACAGAACAGACGAUUUUAUAAUCUACUGGCCUGCUAAGUCCCACA
This 56-nucleotide microRNA precursor is filed under the name Parasteatoda tepidariorum (common house spider). RNAcentral describes it as "microRNA pte-mir-193b precursor". Its record names the gene pte-mir-193b. Lineage: Eukaryota; Metazoa; Arthropoda; Arachnida; Araneae; Theridiidae. The record is from miRBase by way of RNAcentral.